UUGAACGCUGGCGGCAGGCCUAACACAUGCAAGUCGAACGGUAACAGGAAGAAGCUUGCUUCUUUGCUGACGAGUGGCGGACGGGUGAGUAAUGUCUGGGAAACUGCCUGAUGGAGGGGGAUAACUACUGGAAACGGUAGCUAAUACCGCAUAACGUCGCAAGACCAAAGAGGGGGACCUUCGGGCCUCUUGCCAUCGGAUGUGCCCAGAUGGGAUUAGCUAGUAGGUGGGGUAACGGCUCACCUAGGCGACGAUCCCUAGCUGGUCUGAGAGGAUGACCAGCCACACUGGAACUGAGACACGGUCCAGACUCCUACGGGAGGCAGCAGUGGGGAAUAUUGCACAAUGGGCGCAAGCCUGAUGCAGCCAUGCCGCGUGUAUGAAGAAGGCCUUCGGGUUGUAUAGUACUUUCAGCGGGGAGGAAGGGAGUAAAGUUAAUACCUUUGCUCAUUGACGUUACCCGCAGAAGAAGCACCGGCUAACUCCGUG
This 489-nucleotide ribosomal RNA is filed under the name uncultured bacterium. RNAcentral's name for it is "partial 16S ribosomal RNA". It matches the Rfam family "Bacterial small subunit ribosomal RNA", at positions 30 to 507 of the family's 1533-position model. The record is from RNAcentral.